CUUUAUAUUUCCAUUUCAAAAUUAUGGCUUCGAUGACGCUGUUCAUUAUUUUUUCACCGCAAGUCGGGUGCCAUUACAAAGAAGUGGCUGGUUUAUAUUCCGCAACAUAAUAAUUACCGCUCCGAUCUUUAGUUGCAGAUUAUGAGGUGGUAGUCCGGGAAAUUCCAUCGAAUUUAAGAACUCCGUUGGAUAGUUGACCACAUCAUCUUGUUCCACAAAUCAAUCGGUGUUGAUGGGAAGCAUGUAGACAAAAGUAUGGCAAACAAUGUUAGUAUUUGUAUAGCAUUUGACGAAAUCACAGCAUCUUCGAGAGUGUGAUCCCAAUGAGUGUCAUUCUCGAGCAGUCCUAUACGUUGACAUGCUUCUCUGUAUAUGCCGCACAAUACGCCAUUAACAGUUCGCAGAUGUUGGAAUGAUGUUGGGCCACGAACAUUGAUUAACAGUAAACGCAAAUAAAAACACUCGUCUUGGCUGGGAUGCACUGUGUAAAGACGUCCUAGUGCAUCUGUUGAGAAUACUUGUUGGUAAUUUGGAACUGGCUGUCCUUGUUUUCGUCGUUGAAAUUUCUUUAAUGAUUGAUUCGUGGCAUUUCGGAAUAAAGCAGUGUUCUUGCAAAGUCAUCAUUCUGGCACAUUUCAAAGAAGCUUGUCAAUGCUGUUGAUGGCAGCCUCUCAAUUCUUUGUAAUACGUUUAUCGUUGGUAUCUUUCAGGUAUUGGAAAUGAAAAAAUACGCCACAUCGCCUCAUUACUACUGAGUUAUCUCGUUUGAAUUUUCGGCAGCAACUCCGAACACAGCCAUGUCACUACCUUUGUUCACGUACUUGGAGAUAUAUUUUAUUGGUUUUAAGGAAUGGCAAUAUUCUACAUUUAUGUGUGCUUUAAAUGUUUUGGAGAGUAACGGCGAAAACGGAACAACCCAAUGAUUAUCAACUUCAAUGUCAUGCUGAUUUACUUUGAUUGUUUUUGUCCUUCCGUUGUCGUCAGUGGAUCGCCUGCGAUAAAGUGGGUUACCAUCAUUUCCACUAAUCGUUUCUGCUACUAAUUGUCUUGGAAAGCGUUUUGAACAUUUUCCAUUCACCAUACACG
Long non-coding RNA from Drosophila obscura, 1086 nucleotides. RefSeq lists it as uncharacterized. The record is from RefSeq and is a predicted model, not a curated record. NCBI's taxonomy places the organism in Eukaryota, Metazoa, Arthropoda, Insecta, Diptera, Drosophilidae. The transcript has 3 exons.